Molecule: RNA transcript, 987 nt
Organism: Diospyros lotus (date-plum)
Lineage: Eukaryota; Viridiplantae; Streptophyta; Magnoliopsida; Ericales; Ebenaceae
Exons: 4
Source: RefSeq, a predicted model, not a curated record
GAAUUUUCCUCAUCUUCAUCCCCAUUCUCUCUCUCUCUUUGCCCAAAAACCAUUGUCGACGAAUAUAGGUAGGGUUCUCUGCACCACUGCUGUCUGGUUUUUCAAGCUAAGACGUCGCUCCACCAUUGCCGUUGGCUUCUGCAAGAUUCGAUAGUCAUGGCCUCUUCCCUCGCCGGUAGUCAUGGCCUCUUCCCUCGCCGCCAAUGGUUCCUUCUUCCCUCGCCGCCAGUCGUUCCCUCUCCCCUUGCUGCCGGUUGUUCCGGCUCUAAGUAACCCCUCUUCUCUCUCUGUUCAUUCAACAUAGGUGGUGUUUGUGCUGUUAGUAUUCCUUCCUCUCUAACAGACCCCAAUGGAGAACAGUUUACGUCGUGCAAAGACGUUUCUUCGUUCUUUCAGUCUUAUGUUGGGAUUAGUGGUGCAAGCAAAUCAUUGACUCAGCCGGAGGCCGACAAUCAGCAAGUUCACGGUGUGGGUUCUGAAGAACAUGCAAGUUUUGUUCACAAAAAUGAUGAUGUAAAGCGGAAAGCAAUCCCAGUUCAAUCUUACCCAGUCCGUCUAUACCUAUUGUACAAGAGAAGGGUUUUGAUUCGAGGGGAAUUGAUAAUCUGCCUGAGGUUCAAGUUCAGCAUCUUUUUGAGUGUGACAAAAGCAUCAUGACCUUUAGUAAAGGAACUCCUUUGUGAGGCAUCUGAUGUCAUUUCACCAGAGGAUUAUGAGGAGGUACAACCUUGGUUCCUCAACGGGGGAAAAUCUGAUACCUAAAGAAUGUGAAAGUGGGAUCUUGCAGAAGGGAUUUCAAGAAAGGCAGAGUCUUCACACCAACGUGGGAAUCCAUACAAGGAAUGACAAUGGGGGUUAUGCAGAAUUACCAGAUCAGACUGUGGUUCAGAAGAACAUUCUUGUAAUUAAAGACAAAUUUUGAUGACUGAAAUUGAAUAUUGAUACUGGUUUUGAGUAAUUAGGAUUAUUCUUGUUCUUUUUGUUUCA